GUACCAGACUCCUACGGGAGGCAGCAGUGGGGGAUAUUGCACAAUGGGGGGAACCCUGAUGCAGCGACGCCGCGUGGGUGAAGGAGCGUUUCGGCGCGUAAAGCCCUAUCGGCAGGGAAGAAGGAGGACGGUACCUGACUAAGAAGCCCCGGCUAACUACGUGCCAGCAGCCGCGGUAAUACGGAGGGGGCAAGCGUUAUCCGGAGUUACUGGGUGUAAAGGGCGUGUAGCCGGGCUGACAAGUCAGAUGUGAAAUCCGGGGGCUCAACCCCCGAACUGCAGUUGAAACUGUUGGUCUUGAGUAUCGGAGAGGCAGGCGGAAUUCCUAGUGUAGCGGUGAAAUGCGUAGAUAUUAGGAGGAACACCAGUGGCGAAGGCGUCUUACUGGACCGAAACUGACGUUGAGGCUCGAAAGCGUGGGGAGCAAACAGGAUUAGAUACCCUCGUACUU
Molecule: ribosomal RNA, 451 nt
Filed under: uncultured bacterium
Lineage: Bacteria
Description: partial 16S ribosomal RNA
Rfam family: Bacterial small subunit ribosomal RNA
Source: RNAcentral